Molecule: long non-coding RNA, 524 nt
Organism: Dromiciops gliroides (monito del monte)
Lineage: Eukaryota; Metazoa; Chordata; Mammalia; Microbiotheria; Microbiotheriidae
Exons: 4
Source: RefSeq, a predicted model, not a curated record
CAGCCACAACAUGUUCUCUGGCACCACCCUGAGAAACUGAACUGGUCCUGAAUCAGAGGGGAAGAUGGACAUUCACUGAAUCACCCAGCUUCUUCUGACAUACUCUCAGCACUUCUGGCCAAGACCUGUAGUCUCUUCCAAGAAUCUUCACCUUUUCUCAAUGUGCUGAUUUUGUCCUGGUCUCCUUUGCUCAGCCCCUACCUCCAUUCAGAGAGGCAGAGAGUACUACAAGUGCUGAAGAGGUGUGAGUACCAAAGCUGAUACGAUCUUGAAAAAUGAAUGAAAUCAUUCAGAGAGGCAAAGUGGUAUAAUAUAGAGAGACCUGACCUCUGAGUCAGAAUGACCUGGAUUCUAGUCCUGACUCGGAUGCAUCCUGGCUAUGUGCACAUGGGGAACUCACUUAACCCAGACAAUUCUCUGAUACUAGGUCAGUGACUAGAGUUCCUGAAAAUGGGCUUUGCAUGCAAAAGAUCCCAAAAGAUCAAGAAUUCCUGAGUUCCAACACUCAAGGACCAGCCUCCUAG